Non-coding RNA from Styela clava, 2547 nucleotides. The record is from RefSeq and is a predicted model, not a curated record. NCBI's taxonomy places the organism in Eukaryota, Metazoa, Chordata, Ascidiacea, Stolidobranchia, Styelidae.
AUGAAUUAAUGUUCCAUGAUCCUCUCAAAAUUAUUUUAUCGAUGCUCUCAAAAUUAUUUUAUCUGGGAAUCUAAAAAGGAAUAACUGGCUAACUAAUCCCAUACACAACGUGGACUGGUGGCCGGACAAGAGACCAUAGUUCGCCAUAUAAUUAACUCUCCUGUUUAUCGGGGGAUAAAAUAAUGUACAAAACCAUAUUGUUGCUUUGAAGUAAAAAAAUGUUGAAUACUGUUUAAAACGUACAAUUCUCAAAUUAUUUUCAAAGUAACUUAAAUAUCAUGGUAAAGUUACAAUGACGAAUACAUCUAUUUUUUCCCUAUUUUGUUUAUUUUUUAUAAAAAAAUUCUAUUUUCUGCAAUUUGGAGCUACCGUAAACAGCCCGCCAUUAGAUGAACGUCGAAAACAAAACAGGGCAACAAAUGACGUAUGGGACAGAUUGUUUUGUAAUCGAAGCACGUGAUUUGCAUUGUUGACCAAUCGGUGAUCGUCAUUCCAAAACCACGACUUGUUCUGUUUGUUUCUUUAUUAUAUUUGCCUUCUUCUCACCCUGACACGUUGGCCAAAAAAGCGAGACCGACGAGCAUUCGAAUCAGGGGCAGCGAGGACGAAGUUGGCUUAGUGUUAGUAGAGCGUUUACGGACAGAUUGAGUUUAGGUUUAGACAUCGUUGGUCAUCCGAGUUCAAGUAUUAUUGAGGAUCGCUGCGAUACUUCGAAAACGCUGGCGGUAGCAAUGUUUAUAUGAACAGGAAUUAGUCUCAGAUGAUAUUACUUUUGCGUUUUCUUUUACUCAUUUUAUCUCUUACUCCUAUUGUUUUGAACUUUUAUUCAUGUUUACUAUAUCGCUGUUAAUUUUGCAGUGUCUGUACCCCUUAUUCAAUAUUGUUUUUAUAUAUGUGUGCGAUAUUCAAUAUUGUGGAUUGCUACCUUAUUUUAUGUGCUAUCAUUCGAUAAUAGACUUUUAUUCCUGCCUGAUUAGCUAUAAAUCUGCUGUUUUGUUUACAUUUUUAAAGGACCUGCAACGUGAAAGGGAUGAUUUAAAAACGCCUCCACUCCAAAUCGAUUUUGUUGUACUAUUGGAGAACUCAGGUGUUGGCGGGGUUGUUUUUUGCCGGGGACUAUGUACAAAAGAUGCUAAUAAUUUCAGAAAUAUUGAUGAGCAGUAGAGAAAUGGAAAUUUUUUUAUGCUUUAGAGAUUGAACCUUAAAUCGCAUGUUUAUCAGCAAGUACGUCACGUCUCAACGAAAAUACGGAAUUCAAGAAUGGGGGUGCGACAAUCGUUAAUUUCGAAGGAAUGCGAAAUAGAGUGGCAUUUGUUCAAGGGAAUAAGAAUUUGCUUUUCAUUCAAUCAAGUCCUCGAACAAAAACUUAUUGCAUUGCGAAGCAUGUGAGCAGCGUUUCCUCCGUGGGUGUCUCGGAACAAAGAUACGUAAAAGUUUUAUCUGUAUCAAUAUCAAAUUUAAUUUAAUUUUAGCUUUUGAGGUAGUAUAUUAUACAGACGACCACGAGAAUGCGAUGUUUUGUUUGUUUCAGGCAUAAGAAGGGUGAAACAAAGAUCUUAAAUACAUCAUUCAAAGCAAGCGGGAAGCGUGUUAGAAAAGCAAGGUGCAAUAUUUCGAUAUUCUGAAUAAAACUAAAGUACCUAAGAACAAAGAGUCUAAAAACCAGUUUCUUAAGGCAUGUAAAAACUGUUCCGAAGGGCAAUAGAUAGCACAGUGGAAACGACGGCAAAAAAAUAACUGAAACUUAUGCUGAUAUAUAUUCUGAACAGCUGAACAAAAUAGAAGAAGAAAGAAUGUGUAAAGUCUGUUUCAGUAAUCCUGCUGAUAUGGUUUUGCUACCCUGUCGUCAUUUACUUUGCUGUUUGGAUUGUACACAGAGGAUCAAAGAAGGCAAUCGGAAAUGCCCUUUUUGUCGUAGGGGGAUUCCCAAUACAGUAAGAAUUUUCAGGUGUUGAAUUAAGGUACACACCGAAACAGUAUACUGAAGAAAAGCACUGUGUCGAAUAUAUUAAAUAAAGUUUUAAUUGAAUUCUAUUCUUCUUUCUUAAUAUGUUAUUGUACAACUCUGAUAUCUUCGCUUUCUGUACUUUUAAAGAACUGGGCUUCAUUCUCCUGGCUGGUCUGACCCAUUACCCUUGUAAAAUUCAUCAAAGCCAUGUUAGAGUUCCUGCUUCAAGUGAAUGACUUUAUAGUUUUAUUCAAAUAAAGCACAAAUAUGUGCGAAAAGUUUUGAAUCUAGCUCUAUCACACCCGAGUUUUGUAUCAAGGUGCGACCGAAAAUGAGUAUUGUAUUUCAUCGGUAGGGCCCAAACUGAAUACUUAACUAUUCAGAAUACGUCCUGAAAGCAUAUUUUCAAAUAUGGAAUAUAUUCUAAACUAGGAACAUCUUUAUUCAAAAAUUACAAUAUUCUGUAUAUAUUUCGUUUCAUCAUAUUUGAAAUGGCACAAAUAUUAGGAUCAUUGUUUUCACAUUUCAUUUGCAUGCAUUUGAUGAACAUAUGCUUUGCCCUGCUUGGUUGAUGCCAAAUUUACGUCUCAAAAUCGACA